Long non-coding RNA from Nyctereutes procyonoides (raccoon dog), 1351 nucleotides. RefSeq lists it as uncharacterized. NCBI's taxonomy places the organism in Eukaryota, Metazoa, Chordata, Mammalia, Carnivora, Canidae. The record is from RefSeq and is a predicted model, not a curated record. The transcript is spliced from 4 exons.
AAUAGACAAGAUAUGGUCAUCUGGAGCUUCCAUUGCCAUCAAUGAAAAAUUCUAGAAGCUAUUAUUUAAUGAACUAGUUUCAAAUGUAUCAGUUUGCCAUAUGAAGAAACUAUCUUGAAAAGUUACGUGCCCAAGGUUGUGUUUCACAACUGAGAUCCAGUCUUCCCUACCCUGAGAAAUCAUCUGUGAUCAUGAGUUAGGUCCAAUGUUCCUCCUCUGGGCUGUAGACCCUUGAAGGGUAGGAGAUCCCUUACUGAUCUCUCACCUAACACCUGGAAGAGCUCCUGGAACUAGGAAAUGCCUGGCAAUUUGAGUCUUUUAAUACAGGUUGAAGAAAAUUUUUCCCGAAUGAGAUACAGUACUUGCCAAUAACCAGCAUCCAUCCGAGAUCCAAAUCCAGAAAAAUUAUACAACUUAACAUGCAGUCAGGGUAAAGCUUCGAAAAGUGAUAAUGAGAUUCCUCCAAGUUGGACCCGUUUCCAGGUUCUCAGGGAAGGCUGCUUUACCAUGCGGUGCAUCGUUGGCUCACACGGAAGAGUGUACACAGGACAACAUUGGCUGGAAAGAACCGGGCUUGGUAUCAGGAGAUGUGGGGUCAGUCCACUCUCCCCAUCCACGAGCAGGGCGAGAUUAACCUCUCUGUAUUUGUCAUCCUGAACUAGCCCGGAAAAUGAGGCCUAUUGCGCCACUCACAUGGAAUCUGAAAGUUAUAAAAUGCCAUCAAAACACAAGCUAAUGUUAUCAUUUUUUGUCUGUUACUAUUCUGAGAAAAAUCCUAAGAUUCUGGGAGUAAUGAAAAUGAUUUUUCCCCAUGCCAGGCAAUCUAAAACUUAUGCUGGAAAAAAUAUGUUUUGAAAGUAUAAAAGAUAAUACCGAUUACAUUAAUGGUAAAUUUAAGACAUCAUAGUGGAGAAAACUAUCAUUGAUUAUUUGCUGUGUGCCUGACCCUAUGCUUAGAGCUUUAUGUACAUUACCUGCGUUUUCAUCCAAUGAAGUGGAGUGAUAGCCCAGCCCCAUCCUUGCAAAGGGAGUCUCUCUGAGACUGAGUUGCAUAUCUAAGAUCGCAUCAGGGGGUGGGUGGAACAGGUAGGGCCCCCCCCCAGGGUGUCUGCAUCCAGAAACUGCCCAUUUCAGUGAUUCCAGGCCCUGGCACAAAAGACAGAAAGAUAAACAAUGCCAACAGAAGGCAGUGACAACAGGAGAAGCCCUUAUACUGAUCAUGGAAGUGGAAAGUCAGUUAAAACAGAGAAUCAGAAAAAUGAUCCCAUAUAAACUUUAAAUACUUUAAUUUAAAAUACAUAAAUAUGAAUUGUUUAAUAAAGUCAAUGUUUGAAAGUUGCUUAGAAAAGGA